CAUGGCUGGCAGGGUGUUCACUAGCCAAAGUGAAAGUUGGUAAGAACAUUUUGUUCUAAUGACAUCUUGGGCUGCACAGAACAGGUCAGUUCCUUUGAAUCUCAGGUGAGCGACUUUGGGCCUUUCAGGCCCUCUUGUUUAAUAUUAGCUUAUUUUGACACUGUUAAUUAAAAUAAUGUGAAUGUUAAUGUGCUUGUGACCAAGGUUGCGUUAUCUGAGCCAUAUCAGCGGCCUUUGUAGUUUAUUUAAAUCUUCAUUAUGUCUAACAACAUUAUAUCAGAAGUGUUGCAAUUAAGUCUGAAAGUCUGUCAUACAUUACAUUUUGGACGUGCUCUGUAAAAAAGGGGUCUAAUUCAUAUGCGUAAAGUGUCUUCCCAGAUUAGACUGUGCAGUCUGCACAGGCUAAUCAGGGACAGCACUUUCUGGCUGAAUUGGAUUUUUGCUAAGAAGAGACUAAAGUUGAAAGUGUUGUCCCUCAUUAGCCUAUGCGGACUGCACAGGCUCAUCUGGUACGGCACUUUACGCACAUGCAUUAAGCCCCCUUUUCACAGGGCCCAUACAUCUUUUUCCAGGUUUUGUUUGAAUGCCUGCACUAUGCUGAAAGGUUUGGCUGGAUUCCUGUACCAAGCCAGGUCUCUGACCCCAGACCUCUGGUGCUGAGCUCUAACAGACUGGUACCAGCAGAGUCCUCAUCUGACAGCCUGGUACCCAGCGUUAAGUCAGAUUAAUAGGUUUCAACUGUAUAUAUUACACCCAACCAAUUAUUGAACAGCAAUUGUAUUUAGCUUGUGUAUGCCUCUUUAAGAAGUGUUUGAUGUAAGCUUUACUUGAAUAUUCAUUAUUGUGAUGUUUUUUACAUUCUAUAUUGUUUGUUGUGGUGCUGAAUCAAUAUUUGGUGAUGUUUUUGAUGCUAGUUCAAGAGUUUUUUUUAACAAGUUGUAAAACAUGAGGGAGUUAUCAACUUUUUAUUUGUUAUUUGCGGAAAUUGGGCUCUCUGAAAAAAGUUAAAACGUUGCGAUAACUUAUCUGUACAAAUAUUGGGUUUUGAGUCCAGCAUGCAUAAUGUAUAUUAGCGAAUACAACUUAAGAAGGGAACUAUAAUAAUUUGUAAAUAUUUUAAUGUUUUUUAAGCCCUGUAGUUUAUUCUUUUCAGUCACCAAAGUACAUGUGUCAGUUAUUUUUAGCUCCACUAUUCAAAGAAUUGUCUGAGCAUGACUACUUACUAAUUUUAAACACUUUACAACAUCUCAAUGUCACUGUUUCUCCCACAGUUAUUCAACUUGCCACACAUAUGACAGCACAUUAUGUGAGGUCACUGACAAAGUUCUACAACUGCAUAUAAGAAAAUUAUGCCCCAUCUUUAUGCCCCCCACCACUAUAGUGGGGGACAUAUUGUUUUUGCCCUGUCUGUUGGUUGAUUUGUUGGUUGGUUUGUGUGUUUGUUUGUGCAAACUUGAAUAUUUACAAUAACUUUUGCAAUAUUGAAGAUAGCAACUUCAUAUUUGGCAUGCAUGUGUAUCUCAUAGAGCUGCAUAUUUUGAGUAGUGAAAGGUCAAGGUCAUCCUUCAAGGUCAAAUGUCAAAUAUAUGGGUCAAAAUCGCUAAUUUAAUGUACACAUUUGCAGUAUAGAAGAUAGCUGCUUGAUAUUUGGCAUGCAUGUGUAUCUCAUGGAGCUGCACAUUGUGAGUGGUGAAAGGUCAAGGUCAUCAUUCAAGGUCAGAGUUCAAAUAUAUAGGGACAUAGUGCUUCACAAACAAAUUGCUUGUUAUCCCCCGCCAUAGGCGGAGGGAUAUUGUUUUGACGUUGUCCGUCCAUCCGUCUUUCCGUCCCUCCUUCCGUCCGUCCAGCACUUUUGUGUCCGGAGCCAUAUCUUGGAAGUGCUAUUGCGGAUUUCAAUGAAACUUGGUAUGAGUAUAUAUAUGGAUAAGAGGAUGAUGCACGCCUAAUGGCAAUGUACACCAUCUGUUAAUAACAGAGUAAUGGCCCUUUGUAUCUUGGAAAAAUGCUUUUUUGUGUCCUGAGCCAUAUCUUGUAAGUGCUUUGGCGGAUUUCAUUGAAACUUGGUAUGAGUAUAUAUAUGGAUAAGAGGAUGAUGCAUACCAAAUGGCAUUGUACACCAUUGGAUAAUAAAGGAGUUAUGGCCCUUUUUAUCUUGAAAAAAUGCUUUUUUGAGUGUCAAAUAUAACACUUUUGUGUCCAGAAGCAUAUUGGCGGGGAAUAUCAAUUCAACGAAUUGGCUUGUUGUAUGUAUAAUUUUGGUUGAGGAAAAUAUGAAACAUCUCUAUAUCACUGUUUCUAUGGCAGGUAUUCAACUGAAACUUCCCAUUAAUGUUCAGGGUGAGGUCACUAUCUAAGUUUCAUAACACUGACCUGCAAUUUAUCAGAAUUUGCUUCUGUAAUACAGGUAUAGGAAAGGGAAAACAUCUCCACAGCAAUAUUUCUACUCACAGAAUUCAAUUGAUUUGUUACACAUGUGUACAUGAUUAUAAUAGAAGUCAUUACCAUAAAGUGCAAUUUUGAAGAAUUAUACUUUUUGCACUUAGAUAAUUUAUGUUUUUGUUUGGAUGCAAUUUCUCCAAAUGUACAAAUAUUGAACUGAAACAUUACCAAUGUGUUCAGAAUCUGUAUUUAUAUUCAUCAUUAUUUUAGCAUUGUUAUGCCCCUUUUUUCUUUUUAAGGUUUGCUGUAAGUUAAAUUCAAGUUAAAGAUUGCAUGCAACAAGGACACAUCUCUGUAACUCAUACAGAUAUUCAUUUUACACUUCCAUCAUGUCUUUGUGAUCAUCAUAUAAGGUCUCAGACCAAGGUCCACAACAUUGACUUGCAAUAUUGCAGAAUUAUGCCGCUCUUUGUACGUCAGUGGAAUGUCUGCUUGCAGCAACUCUGUUUUAUAAUUAUGACACUUUUGUGUAUAUGACUUAUAUAAACGUCAACUCUAAUGAGUAUUAACUAAUGUUAAUAGCAACACAACACGUGCUUCUGCUAAGACGUUUAAUAUAGAAGUGCGGCAUCAGAAAACAGGGUACAGGGUUAACGUUGGCGGGAGCCGUAGUCUGUUUCACAAUAUAAAUAGUGGUGGCUAUAGUCUAUUUCAUAGUAGAACAUUUCAUAAUAGAACAAACUCCAUAUCAUUUUAUCUACGAAAUAUAUUGAAAAAGAAGUUUACAUGUGGGUUUUUAACGUUCUUUAUAAACAGUCGCUGAGUAGAACCUAUAACUUUGAACAGCUUUUUUAAAAUGAUCAUGCCACCUUUUGUACUUGUAAAAGUCUUUUUAUGGCGUUAAUAGUUUUAUUUGAUCGUUCGUCAAAAAGUUGUAACUCUGUUACUCUUGUAUCUUCAAUGCAAUUGAGUAAUUAAAUAGUAAUUAAAUUGAAUGCGUUUUAAUUCCCUUUUAUUAUUGUUUAAUUUGAGUUACAAUGCUAUGACGUUAAAUUUUAUUUACACUUAAAUGUAUUAUGAAUAUUGCUGGGCCAAGUGUGAGGUUGAGCGCUCUAUAACCAGGUUUAAACCCCCAAUGCUUUGCAUUGACCGUUCCAAGGCGGUGACCCCAGCUUUAUUCAUAUUUUGUGUUUAUGUUGGUUUGUAUUGUGCUGUAUUGUGCUGUUUUGUACUGUUUGGGCAAUCGGUCACUUGCCUUAAAUAAAGGACCAACUAAUUGUUUUUAAUGAAAAUUCAAUACUGCUCCAGCAGCUGGAGUUUCACUUCUUUAUAUUGUAUGCAAUUUAAAAUUUAGGUUUAAAUGCCCUUUAACACUCAAAAUGAACAAAUAUUUCGUACAAUAUUUCGAAAAUUAAAAUUAAAAUAGUAUUACCCCAGUAUUACUGGUUCAUCACAUGAUUUACAAUAUGAUGAGAAAUGUACUUCACACAGUGUUAUAUAUCUAAUAACAUGUAAAAAAUAAAAUAUACAAGAUGUCAGACAAAUAAAUCAGAAAGUAUCUUGCAGAAUUAAUAAACAUAGAUUCGAUAUCAGGAACUGCUAAAUAAUGAUAAAAUCCUAUUUCACAUGUUGCUAUGCAUUUUGUCUGUACAUGUACCAACAAGUAUGGUUCUUUGUCUAAUGGUGUUGUUGCAAAAUAGUCUAGACCAUUUAUGCAAGGAGACAUUUGGAAUACGUAAAUUAAAAACUAUGAUUCCUUCCGUCUAGAAUUAACUGCUUUAUGAUAUGCAGAACAUUAUCAUAGUUUACAUAUACAUCUGAUGUUGUUUUUUUUUCUCUAAAUAUGUACAUUAUAGUAUUACUUAUAGGCUGUUGUGUCAAGUCUGAUCCAUCUUUGUAUUAUGUAUUAUUGUGUUUUAUCUAAUAUUAUUUUUCUGCUAAACUAUUUUUGUUGCUGCAUGAUGUUGAUGUGUUUUGUUGCUGUAUGACGUUUAUGCCACAUACUGUGUUUAUGUUUUUAUUAAAAGUAUUAAUAAAAUCUAUAGCCAUAACAUGUUUAGUAUUUAAGAAAUUAAAAUAAACAUAAAUAACAUGUU
Long non-coding RNA from Dreissena polymorpha, 4475 nucleotides. RefSeq lists it as uncharacterized. Lineage: Eukaryota; Metazoa; Mollusca; Bivalvia; Myida; Dreissenidae. The transcript is spliced from 2 exons. The record is from RefSeq and is a predicted model, not a curated record.